UGAGCAACCUGCCCCUUGCUUUGGGAUAACCCUCGGAAACGGGGGCUAAUACCGGAUGUUCACUGCUGGACGCAUGUCUGGUGGUGGAAAGUUUUUCGGCGGGGGAUGGGCUUGCGGCCUAUCAGCUUGUUGGUGGGGUGAUGGACCCCNACAGCGACGACGGUAGCGCUGAGAGGCGACCGCAC
Molecule: ribosomal RNA, 185 nt
Filed under: uncultured bacterium
Lineage: Bacteria
Description: partial 16S ribosomal RNA
Rfam family: Bacterial small subunit ribosomal RNA
Source: RNAcentral